Molecule: ribosomal RNA, 253 nt
Filed under: uncultured bacterium
Lineage: Bacteria
Description: partial 16S ribosomal RNA
Rfam family: Bacterial small subunit ribosomal RNA
Source: RNAcentral
UACGCAGGGGGCUAGCGUUGUUCGGAAUUACUGGGCGUAAAGCGCGCGCAGGCGGUCUUCCAAGUCAGUGGUGAAAGCCCGGAGCUCAACUCCGGAACUGCCAUUGAAACUGUGAGACUAGAGUACGGGAGAGGUGAGUGGAAUUCCCAGUGUAGAGGUGAAAUGCGUAGAGAUGGGGAAGAACACCGGUGGCGAAGGCGGCUCACUGGCUCGUAACUGACGCUGAGGCGCGACAGCGUGGGGAGCAAACAGG